Molecule: ribosomal RNA, 450 nt
Filed under: uncultured bacterium
Lineage: Bacteria
Description: bacterial SSU rRNA
Rfam family: Bacterial small subunit ribosomal RNA
Source: RNAcentral
UCAAGAAACUUCCACAAUGGGCGAAAGCCUGAUGGAGCGACGUCGCGUGAUGGACGAAGUGCUUCGGCACGUAAACAUCUUUUAUGUGGGAUGAAAUUAUUGACAGUACCACAUGAAUAAGGGGCUCCUAACUCUGUGCCAGCAGCCGCGGUAAUACAGAGGGUGCAAGCGUUGUUCGGAUUUACUGGGCGUAAAGCGUGCGUAGGCGGUAUUGAGAGUCGCAGGUGAAAUCCCAGGGCUUAACCCUGGAACUGCCCGCGAGACCUCAGUACUAGAGUGUGAGAGGGGAUAGUGGAAUACCCAGUGUAGCGGUGAAAUGCGUAGAGAUUGGGUGGAACACCGGUGGCGAAGGCGGCUAUCUGGCUCACAACUGACGCUCAGGCACGAAAGCAUGGGGAGCAAACAGGAUUAGAUACCCUUGUAGUCCCUGAGCGGGCUGGCAAGGCGCAU